This is a long non-coding RNA of Penaeus monodon (black tiger shrimp), 219 nucleotides long. RefSeq lists it as uncharacterized. The record is from RefSeq and is a predicted model, not a curated record. The transcript has 3 exons. NCBI's taxonomy places the organism in Eukaryota, Metazoa, Arthropoda, Malacostraca, Decapoda, Penaeidae.
AAAGGGGUUAAAAAAAGGUAGCCUCCCUACCUUUAUAGAUGCAAGUCAGAACUUUGCCAGUGAAGAGAUAAGUGAAGACAACAUUAUUGACCAACUUGUCAAGCAUCAGAAGCAAGUGAUUGUUUUGGGUGAUGAUACAUGGAAUGGCUUAUUUCCCAGAAGAUUUAAAAGAUCGUUCCUGUUCCCAUCAUUCAAACGGAUGGACCCCACAGUAGACAA